UACGUAGGGACCAAGCGUUGUUCGGAUUUACUGGGCGUAAAGGGCGCGUAGGCGGCGCGGUAAGUCACUUGUGAAAUCUCUGAGCUUAACUCAGAACGGCCAAGUGAUACUGCAGUGCUAGAGUGUGGAAGGGGCAAUCGGAAUUCUUGGUGUAGCGGUGAAAUGCGUAGAUAUCAAGAGGAACACCAGUGGCGAAGGCGGCCAACUGGUCCGAUACUGACGCUGAGGCGCGAAAGCGUGGGGAGCAAACAGG
This 253-nucleotide ribosomal RNA is filed under the name uncultured bacterium. RNAcentral's name for it is "partial 16S ribosomal RNA". It matches the Rfam family "Bacterial small subunit ribosomal RNA", at positions 524 to 776 of the family's 1533-position model. The record is from RNAcentral.